This 447-nucleotide ribosomal RNA is filed under the name uncultured bacterium. Its description in RNAcentral is "partial 16S ribosomal RNA". It matches the Rfam family "Bacterial small subunit ribosomal RNA", at positions 29 to 523 of the family's 1533-position model. The record is from RNAcentral.
AACGAACGCUGGCGGCAGGCCUAACACAUGCAAGUCGAACGCCCCGCAAGGGGAGUGGCGCACGGGUGAGUAACGCGUGGGAAUAUGCCCUUCGGUUCGGAAUAACACAGGGAAACUUGUGCUAAUACCGGAUACGAUCUACGGAUGAAAGAUUUAUCGCCGAGGGAGUAGCCCGCGUAGGAUUAGCUAGUUGGUGAGGUAACGGCUCACCAAGGCGACGAUCCUUAGCUGGUCUGAGAGGAUGAUCAGCCACACUGGGACUGAGACACGGCCCAGACUCCUACGGGAGGCAGCAGUGGGGAAUAUUGGACAAUGGGCGAAAGCCUGAUCCAGCCAUGCCGCGUGAGUGAUGAAGGCCUUAGGGUUGCAAAGCUCUUUCGCCAGGGAAGAUAAUGACGGUACCUGGGAAAGAAGCCUCGGCUAACUCCGUGCCAGCCGCCGCAGUAA